CAGCACCUCAAGUGGUCAGGAUGAUUAUUGGGCCUAAAGCAUCCGUAGCCGGCGCUGUAAGUUUUCGGUUAAAUCUGUACGCUCAACGUACAGGCUGCCGGGAAUACUGCAGCGCUAGGGAGUGGGAGAGGUAGACGGUACUCGGUAGGAAGGGGUAAAAUCCUUUGAUCUAUUGAUGACCACCUGUGGCGAAGGCGGUCUACCAGAACACGUCCGACGGUGAGGGAUGAAAGCUGGGGGAGCAAACCGGAUUAGAGACCCGAGUAGUCU
This 270-nucleotide ribosomal RNA is filed under the name uncultured archaeon. Its description in RNAcentral is "partial 16S ribosomal RNA". It matches the Rfam family "Archaeal small subunit ribosomal RNA", at positions 477 to 747 of the family's 1478-position model. The record is from RNAcentral.